Molecule: long non-coding RNA, 536 nt
Filed under: Vulpes vulpes (red fox)
Lineage: Eukaryota; Metazoa; Chordata; Mammalia; Carnivora; Canidae
Description: lncRNA (ENSVVUG00000008491.1)
Source: RNAcentral
AAGAGAACAAGAGACGGACUUCUUGUCCACCUUCCUCCCAUGGCGUCCACCGAAGGUCACUCCACACCCCCGCUCCCCACCAGAACAGCAACUUGCUUCCUUUACCGAGAUGACUCUUGAGUGAUGGUGUUGGGCCUCAUGCAUAAAGACUUUGGAAGGCUCCGAUUUCCCAUGCUUAUUCUCUCACUUUAGAAAACUAACAAUAAAAUGAAUUACUUCACAUGAUGAUUGUUUUGUCACUGAAUCACAGGAUCUGGAUAACCAGCUACCAAAAAUGCUAAAGGUAAUUGUCAUUCUAUCUGAAAUGAAUGGCAAGCAACAGCACCACUACCAUCUUCCGUCUUACAGAUGGAAGGUGUCCACGUCUUUGGAAGUGAUAGCGUCCUGGUGCACAGUAAGCCUCCAAUGCCUAUUUGUUAGACUGUCCAACAAAUACCCUCUGCCCCGUGAAGUAACAAGCAUUUGGAAGAGAGGUUGACGCUCUAAGUCAUCAGAUCACACCCCUGGGACCCACAAAUAGUACAAGGUUAGUCUAG